This 497-nucleotide ribosomal RNA is filed under the name uncultured bacterium. RNAcentral's name for it is "partial 16S ribosomal RNA". It matches the Rfam family "Bacterial small subunit ribosomal RNA", at positions 28 to 507 of the family's 1533-position model. The record is from RNAcentral.
GAUGGACGCUGGCGGCGUGCCUAAUACAUGCAAGUCGAGCGAACGGACGAGAAGCUUGCUUCUCUGAUGUUAGCGGCGGACGGGUGAGUAACACGUGGAUAACCUACCUAUAAGACUGGGAUAACUUCGGGAAACCGGAGCUAAUACCGGAUAAUAUUUUGAACCGCAUGGUUCAAAAGUGAAAGACGGUCUUGCGGUCACUUAUAGAUGGAUCAGCGCUGCAUUAGCUAGUUGGUAAGGUAACGGCUUACCAAGGCAACGAUGCAUAGCCGACCUGAAAGGGUGAACGGCCACACUGGAACUGAGACACGUUCGAGACUCCUACGGGAGGCAGCAGUAGGGAAUCUUCCGAAAUGGGCGAAAGCCUGACGGAGCAACGCCGCGGGAGUGAUGAAGGUCUUCUGAUCGUAAAACUCUGUUAUUAGGAAAGAACAUAUGUGUAAGUAACUGUGCACAUCUUGACGGUACCUAAUCAGAAAGCCACGGCUAACUACGUG